RNAcentral lists this ribosomal RNA (554 nucleotides) under uncultured Thermoplasmatales archaeon. RNAcentral describes it as "bacterial SSU rRNA". It matches the Rfam family "Archaeal small subunit ribosomal RNA", at positions 10 to 568 of the family's 1478-position model. Lineage: Archaea; Methanobacteriati; Thermoplasmatota; Thermoplasmata; Thermoplasmatales. The record is from RNAcentral.
GAUCCUGCCGGCGGGCACCGCUAUUGGAGUUCGCUUAAGCCAUGCGAGUCGAGAGGGGUAAGCCCUCGGCGCACUGCUCAGUAACACGCGGACAAUCUGCCCUCGAGACGGGGAUAACCCCGGGAAACUGGGAAUAAUACCCGAUAGGUCUGAGAUGAUGGAAGGCUCUCAGGCCCAAAUCCUGCGGGGCUCGAGGAUGGGUCUGCGGCCUAUCAGGUAGUAGGGGGUUUCACGGACCCCCUAGCCAUAGACGGGUACGGGCUUUGGGAGAAGUCGCCCGGAGAUGGAUUCUGAGACACGAAUCCAGGUCCUACGGGACGCAGCAGGCGCGAAACCUCCACAAUGUGGGCAACCACGAUGGGGGAACUCCAAGUGCCUACACUUUUGUGUAGGCCGUUCUCGAGCCUAAAAAGCUCGAGAAGUAAGGGCCGGGUAAGACGGGUGCCAGCCGCCGCGGUAAUACCCGCGGCCCGAGUGGUGCUCAUUAUUAUUGAGCCUAAAGCGUCCGUAGCUGGCCGGGCAAAUCUCGGGUAAAUCGGGCGGCUCAACUGCCC